UCAACAUUGUGACUUGGGAGGCCUGUGUGCCCACUGUAACGUGGAUUAAGCUGGGAGCCCGAAACCACAAGUGAGAAGUCAUCUUCCACCUCUGCAGUGCAGACCUGCUCCCGCAUGGAAGACUUUGGAAAAGGCUGCUCCGACUUGUGGAUUUGGUUCCAUCAGCUCUUGCAAACUCAGUUAGACCUCUUCACCCAGCAAGGUCUGGCGAUUGUACUCAUCUCCAGCCCCCGAAAGCUGAUUUCCUCCUGGAAGUGCCCCUGUGCGUUGCCCAUGGAUGCAGUGGCUCCACAUCAGGCAUGAGAGGGACUGGUAAAGAAGAAUGGGCCAAGUGAAAUUCCAGCCAAGGCGUUUUCAUUCAGCCGUCCCCAAAUUCCCAGUUGGCCACUGAUGCUCUGCUCUCUAAUUAGCCCCACUCCAUCCUUGUAGAGGAGGCGAGAGUGUGCAUGCAAAAUGUGAGCACCACAAACCUGUGUCUGCUUUGCUGCCGUGUUCCAGCCCAGAAAGACAGCGUCUGCCUGCAUGCCUCUGUGUUCUGCGUGGAGCUCC
Molecule: long non-coding RNA, 549 nt
Organism: Cuculus canorus (common cuckoo)
Lineage: Eukaryota; Metazoa; Chordata; Aves; Cuculiformes; Cuculidae
Exons: 4
Source: RefSeq, a predicted model, not a curated record